GGACCCGUGGUGUAGGGUGAGCGUGAUUGCCUUUCACCCAGUCGGUCUGGGUUCGAUCCCAGAAGGUCCC
Molecule: transfer RNA, 70 nt
Filed under: Culex quinquefasciatus (southern house mosquito)
Lineage: Eukaryota; Metazoa; Arthropoda; Insecta; Diptera; Culicidae
Rfam family: tRNA
About the family: Transfer RNA (tRNA) molecules are approximately 80 nucleotides in length. Their secondary structure includes four short double-helical elements and three loops (D, anti-codon, and T loops).
Source: Rfam by way of RNAcentral